RNAcentral lists this transfer RNA (71 nucleotides) under Helianthus annuus (common sunflower). RNAcentral's name for it is "tRNA-Ile". Lineage: Eukaryota; Viridiplantae; Streptophyta; Magnoliopsida; Asterales; Asteraceae. The record is from RNAcentral.
AAGACCAUAGCAGAGUGGUGAUGUGCGCAAUUGAUGAAGCUGGUGACCCGGGUUCGAAUCCCGUGGUCAUC